RNAcentral lists this unclassified non-coding RNA (195 nucleotides) under plant metagenome. RNAcentral describes it as "partial contains small subunit ribosomal RNA, internal transcribed spacer 1, and 5.8S ribosomal RNA". The record is from RNAcentral.
UCUCCGUUGGUGAACCAGCGGAGGGAUCAUUACCGAGUUUACAACUCCCAAACCCCUGUGAACAUACCAUUUGUUGCCUCGGCGGUGCCUGCUUCAGCAGCCCGCCAGAGGACCCAAACCCUUGAUUUUAUACAGUAUCUUCUGAGUAAAUGAUUAAAUAAAUCAAAACUUUCAACAACGGAUCUCUUGGUUCUG